CAUACAGGACAAGGAGUUAGCAUUACCGGGAGGUCAUAAAGUUGCGAUGAAUGUUUUGCUCAGACAGAAAAUCAUUUAUUUACAAUAAGAGAAUGAAUCACAGAUGCAU
This is a long non-coding RNA of Etheostoma cragini (Arkansas darter), 109 nucleotides long. RefSeq lists it as uncharacterized. The transcript is spliced from 3 exons. The record is from RefSeq and is a predicted model, not a curated record. NCBI's taxonomy places the organism in Eukaryota, Metazoa, Chordata, Actinopteri, Perciformes, Percidae.